CCUACGGGAGGCAGCAGUGGGGAAUAUUGGACAAUGGGGGCAACCCUGAUCCAGCCAUGCCGCGUGUGUGAAGAAGGCCCUCGGGUUGUAAAGCACUUUCAGUGAGGAAGAACGCCUGGUGGUUAAUACCCAUCAGGAAAGACAUCACUCACAGAAGAAGCACCGGCUAACUCCGUGCCAGCAGCCGCGGUAAUACGGAGGGUGCGAGCGUUAAUCGGAAUUACUGGGCGUAAAGCGCGCGUAGGUGGCUUGAUAAGCCGGUUGUGAAAGCCCAGGGCUCAACCUGGGAACGGCAUCCGGGGCUGGGAAGCGAGGGGGGAGGAGAGGAAGGUAAACACCCCGGUGGAGCAGUGCAUUGCGUAGGGACCGGGAGGAAUAGCAGGGGCGAAGGGGGCCUUCUGAUGUGACAGUGACACUGAGGUGCCUGGGCCUGAGUAGCACACGGGGCGAGAUAGCCUAGGGGUC
Molecule: ribosomal RNA, 465 nt
Filed under: Vreelandella stevensii
Lineage: Bacteria; Pseudomonadati; Pseudomonadota; Gammaproteobacteria; Oceanospirillales; Halomonadaceae
Description: partial 16S ribosomal RNA
Rfam family: Bacterial small subunit ribosomal RNA
Source: RNAcentral